AUUGAACGCUGGCGGCAGGCCUAACACAUGCAAGUCGAACGGUAACAGGAAGAAGCUUGCUUCUUUGCUGACGAGUGGCGGACGGGUGAGUAAUGUCUGGGAAACUGCCUGAUGGAGGGGGAUAACUACUGGAAACGGUAGCUAAUACCGCAUAACGUCGCAAGACCAAAAAGGGGGACCUUCGGGCCUCUUGCCAUCGGCUGUGCCCAGAUGGGAUUAGCUAGUAGGUGGGGUAACGGCUCACCUAGGCGACGAUCCCUAGCUGGUCUGAGAGGGUGACCAGCCACACUGGAACUGAGACACGGUCCAGACUCCUACGGGAGGCAGCAGUGGGGAAUAUUGCACAAUGGGCGCAAGCCUGAUGCAGCAAUGCCGCGUGUAUGAUGAAGGCCUUCGGGUUGUAAAGUACUUUCAGCGGGGAGGAAGGGAGUAGAGUUAAUACCUUUGCUCAUUGACGUUACCCGCAGAAGAAGCACCGGCUAACUCCGUG
Molecule: ribosomal RNA, 490 nt
Filed under: uncultured bacterium
Lineage: Bacteria
Description: partial 16S ribosomal RNA
Rfam family: Bacterial small subunit ribosomal RNA
Source: RNAcentral